RNAcentral lists this ribosomal RNA (521 nucleotides) under Oeneis tarpeja. RNAcentral describes it as "partial 16S rRNA". The record is from RNAcentral. Lineage: Eukaryota; Metazoa; Arthropoda; Insecta; Lepidoptera; Nymphalidae.
CUCAGAUCAUGUAAGAUUUUAAUGAUCGAACAGAUCAAAAUUUUAAACUUUUGCAUUUAAAUUUUAUCUUAAUCCAACAUCGAGGUCGCAAACUUUUUUUUUUAUUUGAACUAAAAAAAAAUAUUACGCUGUUAUCCCUAAGGUAAUUUUUUCUUAUAAUCAUUAAUAAUGGAUCAUUUAAUCAUUUAUUUAUGUUUAAUUUUUAAAAAAAGUUCAUUAAAUUUUUCUAUCACCCCAAUAUAAUAAUUAAUUUUAUUUUAAUAAAAAAUUUAAUAUAACUUUAAAAUAAAAAUAAAUAUAAAACUCUAUAGGGUCUUCUCGUCUUUUAAAAUUAUUUUAGCUUUUUAACUAAAAAAUAAAUUUCUAAAAAUAAAUAAGAGACAGUUUAUAUUUCAUCAAAUCUUUCAUACAAGUUUUCAAUUAAAAAACUAUUGAUUAUGCUACCUUUGUACAGUCAUUAUACUGCAGCCCUUUAAUAAUUAUCAGUGGGCAGAUUAGACUUUAAAUUAUAAUCAAAAAGA